Molecule: non-coding RNA, 843 nt
Organism: Triticum urartu
Lineage: Eukaryota; Viridiplantae; Streptophyta; Magnoliopsida; Poales; Poaceae
Source: RefSeq, a predicted model, not a curated record
CUAUCUAAAAGAAACAUAAGGUUCCCUCUCCCUUCUUACGUUAACCCUUUUCGUCCGACUCUCGCUCCCCACAUCGUUCCACCUGGUUUUCUUUUCCCUUGUUUUUUCCUCAAUCAAAAAACCGCAUUUGGUCUGUCAAGAAAGAAAAUCCACAACCCGGCCCGCUCCUCAAGUCAUCAUCUGCUGCCCCAGUCGCAUGCCCGUAAGGGUUUCCAUGCCUCCAGAGCGGCGGCGGCGGCUGGUAACACUUUCGCCAAGGCGUCGGCCACUGCGCUCCCCUGCGGCGGGCUCGAGGGGAUCUGUGCCAGGCGCGUGCUGCGGAGGAAGCAGCUGCCCUCGGCAACGGCGGCGUGGACGUCAGAGUUCUCCGCCCCUCUUAUGCCAUCAGACCAGCAGCUACACCGGAUCAGGCCGCUCGAGGUGGACGGGGUUGGAACCGAGGUGUACUCCCUGACCAGCGCUCCUACCUCAGCAUGACGGCGUCGCUCCUCCAACUUCCCUCACUGAUUAUAGUCUUCAAAAUUUUGGCUCGUACUACCACCACCUUCUGUACGCAGAUGUAUAGGUAAAUGUGAGUCGGCCUUCAAACUCGCCAAAAACCGAUAUGCCAAAAUUGUACAAAGUUAUCUCCUGAAGUUAUAUCGAAGUGACUUCUAUGAGGUUCUGAAAAAUGAAAUGCGGUAAAAAGUAAAGCCCAGUUGCAGCAACACGUUUAGACUGCAAUGAAGAGGAGCCAUUGUUGAUCAGGCUGCAAGGUCAAUAAACAAUGUUAGUCCAUAAUGUUGCUUAAUAUGGAUGAGAAUCGUAAAAGAUAUAUUUUCAUGGAUUGAUAAUGCACCUCUA